CUCGUAGGCGGUUCGUCGCGUCCGGUGUGAAAGUCCAUCGCCUAACGGUGGAUCUGCGCCGGGUACGGGCGGGCUGGAGUGCGGUAGGGGAGACUGGAAUUCCCGGUGUAACGGUGGAAUGUGUAGAUAUCGGGAAGAACACCAAUGGCGAAGGCAGGUCUCUGGGCCGUUACUGACGCUGAGGAGCGAAAGCGUGAGGAGCGAACA
This 207-nucleotide ribosomal RNA is filed under the name uncultured bacterium. RNAcentral describes it as "partial 16S ribosomal RNA". It matches the Rfam family "Bacterial small subunit ribosomal RNA", at positions 568 to 774 of the family's 1533-position model. The record is from RNAcentral.